GUCAGGAUGGCCGAGUGGUCUAAGGCGCCAGACUCAAGUUCUGUUCCUCGUAAGAGGGCGUGGGUUCAAAUCCCACUUCUGACA
Ipomoea nil (Japanese morning glory) is the source of this 84-nucleotide transfer RNA. It matches the Rfam family "tRNA". Rfam says of the family: Transfer RNA (tRNA) molecules are approximately 80 nucleotides in length. The record is from Rfam. NCBI's taxonomy places the organism in Eukaryota, Viridiplantae, Streptophyta, Magnoliopsida, Solanales, Convolvulaceae.